AGACCCGUAUAGCUCCACCCCCUCUCUCGUGGACGAUUGGUUACUGGAGGAGGCAGGACGUAAAGAAGGGCGUAGGAGUUUCUUUGCGGAGAGAGCGCCCGUGAGAAAAAGCGGGCGCAUGCGCAGUGCGACACGAAGGCUGUUGAUUCGUGCCCGGGAACCAUUUGAUGGAUGUGUCCACUCCAACCCCAGCAUGUCCUUUAGCUCCUGAAGAAAUUGGCAUCACUUCCUCAAUGGGACACAGCAGCACAAGAGGCUAUCCAUUAAAUCCAUCCUUGCCGGAUCACUUUAGGGUUUUUCACCUUCCCUUCCAACUGCUUUUGCCUUCUGGCUCCACAAGGGACUGACCAGGUUUCUACAAAAGAUGGAUCGUCAACCUUGAAGAGGUAGCAGGUUUUCUCAUGGAAAUAAUUCAGAGUUUGUAACGAUUUAUAUUUAUUUGACAUCCUUUUGUGUGUUUUACUAUCACCGCUGUUAACUGUG
Molecule: long non-coding RNA, 483 nt
Organism: Sphaerodactylus townsendi
Lineage: Eukaryota; Metazoa; Chordata; Lepidosauria; Squamata; Sphaerodactylidae
Exons: 3
Source: RefSeq, a predicted model, not a curated record